GCUUGUUUACAUUGUGUUUUAAUUACGCACGUGUCUCCUUUAACGCUAGCACAUCGCUAUAAACGGGUACUAUUAAGAGAUACAAUAUACAAAGAGAGCGAGUAAACAUCUUUACGACAUCUUUACGACAUCUUUUUAAAGUCAUUUAGUUAAAAUUGGCUUUGAACUAGCUUUCAGUAACUUCGUAUUCACUUAGAAAAGAAGGUAAUAGAUUUCCAUCAACCUCGAGUUUGAUGGUUUUUAAUCAUUUUAUGAGUACUUAGCAUUGUG
This 270-nucleotide long non-coding RNA is filed under the name Mytilus galloprovincialis (Mediterranean mussel). Lineage: Eukaryota; Metazoa; Mollusca; Bivalvia; Mytilida; Mytilidae. The record is from RNAcentral.